GCGUUUGGUUUGUUGUAAAAGGGGUGGAUAGCAUAGGGAUAUAGGCUUAUAUGGGUGUUUGGUUUCUUAUAAACAAAUCCAACAUGGCCCUGAGAAUUGUAAUGGCCCGAUGCAAAUUCACUGUAGAUUCAGUGUUACCCAGCCGGCCACCCCCCUCCGAUACAUUUUCCAGAUUUUAAUACUACUUUAUUUCUACCAUAAUUGCCCUCAACUUUUUCAAAUUCAAUCAUUAAACUGUUCAAAUUCGCAUCCCCCAAUUCUCUACCCAAUUCUCUGCGCCUACCGGGAACUCUGAUCUUCUUUGGAGAAAAAUCGACGGAAGCAACUGAAUCAAACCAAGGGACAUCUGGUCCGAGGAACGCCAUUUUGGUAACCCAAAUACACGAUGUCGGGGAGGGAACAUAUACGAGAAUCUGAUGUUGUGUAUAUGUUGGUGCAAGAGGUGUUGCGCCAACAUUUGAUGCAAAUAGCUAUUGUUGUUGCUUAUGUUGAUAGCUUGUGUUCAAGAAGAAGAACGCUUGAGGGGGCAGCUGCUCCUUACGGCUUGAUAUGUCGUAUGCCUGAUUAGGAGAGGCAUUUAGGACAACUAAUAGGCUGUAGUGAUGUAGAUUGUAUCAAUAACCUUCGCAUGGACCGUAAUGCAUUUGGUCGUUUGUGUCAAAUAUUAAGGGAUAUGGAGGGCUUAGUUCAUGGGCGACACGUUAGUGUUGAAGAACAAGUAGCUAUGUUCGUCUCGGUCCUUGCCCAUCACAAAAAAAUCGAAUAGUAAGGUUCAAUUUUUGGCGUUCUGGCCAAACAAUAUCACAUUACGUCCAUGCCGUAUUAGGGGCUAUUUUACGAUUACAUGAGACAUUUCUAGCAAAACCCGAGGCUGUCGCGGACGAUUGCACAAACGAUAGGUGGAAAUGGUUCGAGGUACCUCUAGUUGGUUAAUGUAGCUAUUAUAUAAAUUGACAUAUAUACGGGCUACUUGUUGAGUUUUACCUGUGUUUACGGUUGUUUCUUAUGUCUUGUGUAGGGUUGUUUAGGGGCAUUAGAUGGCACCUACGUGAAUGUUUUGGUCAGUACUACCGACAAACCAAGAUACAUAACACGCAAAGGUGAAAUUUCCACAAAUGUUUUAGACGUUUGCGAUCGCAAUCUUCAAUUCGUAUAUGCACUUUCCGGUUGGGAAGGGUCAGCAUCGGAUUGUAGGAUUUUAAGAGAUGCUUUGAAUAGGCCACAUGGAUUAAAGGUGCCAAGAGGUAGAUAUUACUUGUGUGACAAUGGCUAUGCCAACAGCGAUGGUUUUCUUACUCCCUACAAAGGCGUACGAUAUCACUUGAAAGAAUGGGGUCCAAUGGGUUCACGACCUCAAAAUAAGGAAGAACUAUUUAAUCUCCGGCAUAGCAAGGCGAGAAAUGUGAUUGAAAGAGCCAUUGGCAUCAUGAAGAUGCGGUGGGGAAUUCUUCGAUCCACUACAUUCUACCCCAUAAAGAUUCAAAAUAGGUUGAUUAUGUCGUGCUUUUUAUUACAUAACUUCAUUCGUAGGGGGAUGUCAAUUGAUCCGGUUGAACAACAAUACGAUGAUAUGCAUGAGGGGCAGGGUGGUGUAGAAUGAGAGGUUGAUGACUUCGUUGACAGUAUUGAAGCUUCACCUCAAUGGAAUGCCAUGAGAGAAGCAUUGGCUGAGGAGAUGUGGAACCAAUAUCUAAAUCCUAAUUAGGUGAAACUAUUCACAAACACCUCGUUUGUUAUAUAGAAUGUGUUGCUUCUCACAGUGCAUUAAUCUUCUUAUGUUCGACUUUGAAAACUGUGAAUUGUUA
Molecule: long non-coding RNA, 1805 nt
Organism: Salvia miltiorrhiza (redroot sage)
Lineage: Eukaryota; Viridiplantae; Streptophyta; Magnoliopsida; Lamiales; Lamiaceae
Exons: 4
Source: RefSeq, a predicted model, not a curated record